Molecule: ribosomal RNA, 401 nt
Filed under: uncultured eukaryote
Lineage: Eukaryota
Description: partial 18S ribosomal RNA
Rfam family: Eukaryotic small subunit ribosomal RNA
Source: RNAcentral
CAGUAGCGUAUGCUAAAGUUGUUGCAGUUGAAAAGCUCGUAGCUGAAGUUUGGGGUUGGAUGGCAGGGUCUGCUCUGUUUUGAGUGUGUACCAGCUAUUUCCUUCUCUUCCUUCCGGAUUUGCUUCUCCCGGCCUUCGCGGGCCGGGGUUACUAUGGGGCUCCGGAUCUUUCACUGUGAAAAAAUUAGAGUGUUCAAAGCAGGCCACUUUUAUGCCUUGAAUAUUUCAGCAUGGGAUGAUGAAACAGGUCUUUGCGUCUAUUUUCAGUUGGUUUCUAGAAGGCGAAGAAAUGAUUAAUGGGAACAGUUAGGGGAAUUUGUAUUUUAUAGUCAGAGGUGAAAUUCUUGGAUUUAUGAAAGACAAACUUCUGCGAAAGCAUUUUCCAGAGAUGCUUCCGUCAG